This 5449-nucleotide long non-coding RNA is filed under the name Setaria italica (foxtail millet). Its description in RNAcentral is "long non-coding RNA (SITA_LNC005189)". The record is from RNAcentral. Lineage: Eukaryota; Viridiplantae; Streptophyta; Magnoliopsida; Poales; Poaceae.
CCAAACAUGAACCUGCCCGGUUACACCUUCCCAAUGAUUAAUUCUGGGCCAAUGGAUUAAGCCUCGUGGAUCAAAAAUUGAAGCUGAAAUUCAGCUGGCGUCGAUGCAACAGCAGGCAGACCAGCAUACUACAGGCCGAGUCUGAGAACACAGGACAGGAAAACGAGCAAUCAAGAACCCUAGCCUAGCUUCACAACGCGGCAGGCCCAGGACAGAACAGAAUUACCGAAGUGCCCCUCGCCAUUUAACCAUCUCAUCCCCUCACCUCCCCGACGGCGACUCCCCUCGAGCUCGCCCUCCUCCCCCCGCCUCGCUACCGUCGCCCGCUCUUCCCCGGCCAGCGAUCAUUCAACUGGUAAGCCCCCGAUUCCGUUGCGCCCCGCGGUUCCCUUACCCAGUUGCCCGCGGGCCGGCCGGUCGGCCGCCCGCGCGGCGCUGGGGUUUGCUGCUGAAUCGGCGAGUCGGAGGAGCCAGGACAGGAUGGGAGGCGGCCGGCUGCCUUGCGUGGUGUACUGAUGCGACUGUCACGGCGCUGGCUCGCGGUUUGUUCCUGGUUUAGGUUUUUUUGGGUCUGUAGAGGUGAUUGCUUUUGGCUGGGAGGCCCGGAUUGCAGUCCGGGCGUUGGGCGCACGGGGUGUGGGUAUCACAAAAUCGUUCCUUGACUCGAGGAGAGCUCCAUUUCGGUGCCGUCAAGCGGCCUGAUUGGCGAAAUUCGAGUGGACUGGACUUUUGAGGUCAAUAGUGAAGAUUAUUUCUCUGGUAGGAGUAUAGGAUUGCAAAUAAUUUUAUUGUUUCAAAUGAUCGAGAGCUGCUGAGCAGGCAGAUUGGUAGAUGAUUGAUUUUAGCGUGCCAUAUUUUUUACGUUGUCCUUUAAUCUUUCUGACAUUUGCUUGCCACUAUUUUGUGGACACACUUGUUGCGCUCUGUUUCACCCUAUGCUUUUGUGUUUCUCUGGCAUGCAACUGCUUUGUAGUCCAAACAAAUACAACUCCACGCAUGAUGGCUGCCAGCUUAUAUGCAUAUUGUUUGUUCCGAUCAACAUGAGAAUAUGAGAUUGGAUUGAAUUGAGAUUUUGGAAUUGGUACUGCAUGAGAGCUCCCAGGAAUACUGUGUGCAGGAAGGUGAAUGUCUAGCUAAUUUUGACUUUUAAAAUCAGGAUGCUUUUGUUUUUAUGUUUCAAUGGCGUUCUAUUGCUUCAUAUUAGAGCCACUGAUUAGGGAAAGUAGCUUUCCAUGCGAUACACGCAUGUAAAUGCCACUAAUCUUUGAUGGUGUUUUCAUGAUCAGUUGGGUCCCCUGUCAUUGGGUCGUUUGAUUUUCGUGCAAUGUCGCAAAUCACUAGCAGAAGGCUGGUAGUGAGGUAGGAUUGGAAGAGGGAAGGGAUGAGGAAGCUUAGUCUAGAUAGAAUUUUGGAAGGGAGUGUAGAUUAGGCUCACCCAUUUAUAGUGGUGCCAAGCAGGGCCAGGCCAACGCCGCCGCUGCCGCAUCGCCGUCUUCUCUCCACGCCCCUUUCCAUCAGGUAAUUCUCUCCGGCGGCAUGGGGCACCCAGAUGCCUGUUCUUCCUUGGAUCAAUCCUUCUUUUAAGUCAGUCUUGUGUCUUUGUUUUGGUGGUUAUGUCACCGGACUGAUUGCUUGCUGCUGGAAUGCUUUACUCCCUCCUGUCCCAUCAUCAUCACGUGGAUACUGAAACUGCGGGGUAACUGAUAAUAAGUUCAUAAGCAAAUGGUUUUUGAGGUCACCUGUGCUCAUGAAUUAGAAAAGAGAUCAAUCCAGAUGGGGAAGGGAGGUAGCAGGGUUCUUGAUCGUGCCCCAGACUUUUCAGCACUAAUCGCCCCUUUGGGCUCUGGCGCCACUAGAAUCGGGAGUAUUUGCUUCGUCCUCUUCCUCUAACGCCCUUUUCUUUUGAAGUUUUGAUCAAGGGAAGCAAGUUUUCUGCUGCUAACAAUUGUCUGUUUAUCUUGGUCAAUGGAUUGGGAGCAUGGGCAUUGAUGUUUUUCACUGUGUUGUGGUUUAGAAUACUUCAAUCGAAGUUGAGAAGCAAUUUCGAGUUUCUACUUGCUGUGCAAAUUGUAGUCAACUUCAAUGUUGAAAAGUUGUAAGCGUAACACAUCAGCUCACAGCUUCACUCUUGUAGGUUUUCUGAUUUUAUUAUGGACGACAAGAGUAAAGUCAAGAAGGAAAUGGGUGCUCCUCGAAAGGUUAGUAUCUCUUUUCCUUGGCUGUUCACAAUGCCAGCUUCUUCCGUUUAUUGCUUACCAUUGUUGUUUCUUGAUGUAAGGGAGGACUAAAAUUUGCACCCAAAGUACCUGUGAAGAAAGCUGCCAAAAUUGUUCCGAAAAAGUAGGUGAUUGGUCCGUGUUACUUUUCUAAAACUUGGAUAGCUUCCAUUUAAAAUUUGCUAGAUUAGCAAUUUCAGUGAUGUGUAAUUUGAUUUACUCUAACUUGACAGGGAACCAGUUGAGGAUAGCAAGGAUGAAACCGUCGAUAAGGAAUUGCUGAUGAAACUUAAGGCAUCACAGGUACUAAUCAUUAUAUUUGGUCCUUCAUUUGUUGUAUCUGCAAUCUUUUCACUUGAUGCUUGGUUGAUGUAUACAAUAAUUUGUUUCAUUUUGCAGAUUACAGAUCCCUUUGCUAGAAGAGUUAAAACUGAGGAUAAGCGUAAGAGUGCUUAUUUAUGUUCAUUCCAUGCUUUAUAGUCUAAACCUCAUCACCACCUAGUAAAUUUGUUACUCCUACCUCUAAAAGAAGUGUUAUCCCUGCAAGCUGAUGUGCUCGCAGCUACUCCUGUGAAUGGUUAUUGAUGUAUGUUGCAUCACGUUGGAUUGUCUUAAAUUUUGCAUUGUGUUGUGCAUGCACCGAACUCUUUCUUUCCAAGUCUUGAAUUAGUGUACUAAAAUUUAGUGCAUGUAGUACAAGGUAACCAAGGAUUUGUUACAGAGAAGGUUUAUUCAGAAAAAAAAUCAUUAGUUUCUUUCUAAAUUGAUAGAUCCAAUUGUUAUAAUUAUCAAACUAGUAUCUCAUUGGUGUUUAUAAAUAUACAAUUUUUAUAAUAUUGGUGGGGAUUAUUUAUUUUAUUUCUGAUGCACAUCUAGCUAACGAUGUAUUGCUCUGUUUGCAUAGCAAAAAGCCGGACACAAGUUGCAUUUGGACAAGGAAAUUCUUCUUAUGCAAGAUCAUUUUCUAUGCCAAAACGUUCUAAAGGUAUUGGUGGAAGAUAUUUAUCUUCAUUGCUUAUGACUCUAAACCGUUCACUAAGUGUCAUAAUUCUGAAAAAUUGGAUUAGUCUGCUGGCUGGGUUGCAAAUUUUGCUUUUCUCUUUUAAAAGAACAUAGAAUAUAUGUAAUGCUUGUUUGCACAUACAGAUUGCUGUAUUUGGACCUUAAUAACUAUCUUUGUUUCCAUUUCAUAUGCAGAUGAAGAGAAGUUAACAAAAGAAUAUGCAGAGCCAUGGGUGAGUAAAGAUCAGAUUACUAAUUCAGAUCGCUUCCUACUCAGACCUUAUCCAUUGAUUUCCUUUUUUAUUACAGGACUAUAACCAUACUGAUUAUCCUGUUACUCUCCCAUUGAGGAGGCCCUACUCUGGAAAUCCUGGUAUGCUGUUGUCUUUGUAGUGAAAUUGCAAGAAUUUUUCUUCAACCGACCUUUACACCCUUCCUACAUCCCUAAUGCAGAAAUUCUUGAUGAGAAAGAAUUUGGAGAAUCUUCUGCCAGCAGAGCUCAAGAUGCUAAAUUAACCGCAGCGGAAGAGCUUGGAUUAAUCGUAUGUCGCAGAUUCCAACACCGUUUUUUUUUCUGAUUAUAUGUAUUAAUUAUUAAAGCAAAAUCACUUUGUAAGCUCAAUUGUGUACACUAAGAAUCAACAUUGAACUGCUUAAAACUAAUAUAGUUGUACAGACCGUGGCCAUUGCUGCUCUUACACAUGUCCCGUGUUGACAGGAUCGAUCGGAUGAAUCACAAUUGCUCUUCAUCCAGUUGCCGUCUUCUCUUCCUUUACCAUUGCAGCCACAAUCAGUUGCUGAGCCUAAUAAAGGCUCUGAGGAGAGACGUCAGGGCAUGAAGCCAUCAUCGCACUGUGGCUCGAAACUCAAGGAUCUGCCUGGGGGUUAUAUGGGGAAGAUACUUGUAUAUAAGAGUGGUAAAGUGAAGAUGAAGGUCGGAGACACGCUAUUUGAUGUGAGUUUCAAAACUGGAAGUAGUUCUGUUUUCUAUCUAGGUUUUCCAUGCAGUACUCAAGAAGUCACAAUGAACAAAUUGUGCAGGUUUCUUCUGGCUCGAAUUGCAAGUUUGUCCAGGAAGUUGCAGCAAUGGACACCAGAGAAAAGCAUUGUUGCGCGGUGGGGGAGAUUAACAAACGUGCUGUUAUCACCCCCGAUAUUGACUACCUGCUGGGUUCUAUUGACAAGAUGGAAGAAUAGCCCAUUCAUUUCUUUUAGGUAAAACAACCAUCAUGGCCAUAUGCCACAUUGCAAGGGACUAUUUAGUUUUGUUUCUUCAGAGAACAAUCUGGAGUUUACUCUUCCAGAAACUUGGGGGGGGGGGGGGGGGGGGGGGGUCCCUCAGCACAACAAUUUUGAUCGAGAUAAUGAUUAGUCACAAGAGAUCUACAGCAUUUGGUGCACACAUGCACAAAAUGGAAAUGAAAAUUUAAGCUCAAAAUUCAUUCAAUCCCUGCAAACGUGCACCAAAAACUAUUUUGUGCCAGUCUAUGUGUUUCUGUGCAUAUGUGCAGCAAAAAUAUUGAUCUGGAUGAUAGUAAGUAGUUUUCUCAAAAUUUUGGGAACUAUAUAUUACUCAUACACAUUCUCUUUUGUCCAAUUUUUGACAAUGGCUUCCUCACUUUUGUCGGUGCUCUUCACGCAAACCAUACAUACAUGUACUUACUACAUCCGUUUUUAUUUAAAUGACGUCUGGACAAACAAGCUAAGAAUUGAAAUAAAUGUUGACGAUGCAGGUCAGCUAUACCUUUGUUUUUUGUUUAAAUGACGUCCAAACAAAAACUUUCACCUGUUACGAGUGCAAAUUCUGGUCGGGAGCAUCAAUUAUUCGUGAACGGAGGUAGUACAAUUUAGGAAUUCAAAGUCUAUCUUUAGAAAGAAUUUAAAAGGAGGUAUUAUUUUAUCCUUUAAUUAAUAUUCAACAUGUGCCAAACAUGAACCUGCUGGUUACACCUUCCCAAUGAUUAAUUCUGGGCCAAUGGAUUAAGCCUCGUGGAUCAAAAAUUGAACCCUAGCCUAGCUUCACAACACGGCAGCCCAGGACAGAACAGAAUUACCGAAGUGCCCCUCGCCAUUUAACCAUCUCAUCCCCUCACCUCCCCGACGGCGACUCCCCUCGAGCUCGCCCUCCUCCCCCCGCCUCGCUACCGUCGCCCGCUCUUCCCCGGCCAGCGAUCCCGAUUCAACUGGUAAGCCCCCGAUUCCGUUGCGCCCCGCGGUUCCCUUACCCAGUU